CCCUAUGGGGUGCACCAGACAGUGUUCCAGCCGGGAAAGAGUCGCCGAAUACCUUUACAGGAUUGAAUCCGGGUUUCAGUUCACCUGUUACCUCAGAUACCAGAUGAAUGACAUGGGAAUAGAACUGUACCUCUCUGAAUGUUUUCACCUGGACGUGAUCGGAGUUACGGCUAAGAUCAUUCCUCGCAAGGUCGACAAGCAUCACAUGUUCGGCGUUUUCCUUGCUGUCAUUGGCAAGAUCGAUCGCAAGUUGCCUGUCUGUCUCAUCAUUGCCCGAUCUUUUAAAGGUGCCGGCAAUGGGGUUGAUCCUUGCAUUUCCUUUUUCAAUUAUCAGCUGCGCUUCCGGAGAGGAUCCGAAAAGCUUGUAUCCGCCGUAAUCGAAAAAAAACAGGUAAGGGGAGGGGUUGAUAUUUCUAAGGGCCCGGUAAACAUUGAAUUCAUCGCCUGUGAAUUGCUGGCUGAAUUGGCGGGGGGGC
RNAcentral lists this ribosomal RNA (476 nucleotides) under uncultured prokaryote. RNAcentral describes it as "partial 16S ribosomal RNA". The record is from RNAcentral.